UUCACACAGGGAGAGUUUGAUCCUGGCUCAGGACGAACGCUGGCGGCGUGCUUAACACAUGCAAGUCGAGCGAGGCCCUCUCUUCGGAGGGGUGUUCUAGCGGCGAACGGGUGAGUAACACGUGGGCAACCUGCCCCUGGCUCUGGGAUAACUCCAAGAAAUUGGGGCUAAUACCGGAUAUGACCGCUGACCGCAUGGUCUGGGCCCA
RNAcentral lists this ribosomal RNA (208 nucleotides) under uncultured bacterium. RNAcentral describes it as "partial 16S ribosomal RNA". It matches the Rfam family "Bacterial small subunit ribosomal RNA", at positions 1 to 203 of the family's 1533-position model. The record is from RNAcentral.